RNAcentral lists this long non-coding RNA (197 nucleotides) under Urocitellus parryii (Arctic ground squirrel). RNAcentral describes it as "lncRNA (ENSUPAG00010017868.1)". Lineage: Eukaryota; Metazoa; Chordata; Mammalia; Rodentia; Sciuridae. The record is from RNAcentral.
ACCUUGGUUCCAACCCAAAAUUCCCAUAAUUUUUGUUUUUUCUGUUUUGGGUCACAUUUUACAUGCCUGCUCAAGAACCACCCAUGGGUUUGAGCAAUGGAGGAUCUGAGAUUUACAUCCUGAACAGCAGACCCCGUGGUGGAAAGCAGAGUGGUGGAAGAAGAGCAAGACACAAAUAUCAAGUCCUUUCCCCAUGA